This 1390-nucleotide ribosomal RNA is filed under the name uncultured Bordetella sp. Its description in RNAcentral is "partial 16S-23S ribosomal RNA intergenic spacer". It matches the Rfam family "Bacterial small subunit ribosomal RNA". The record is from RNAcentral. Lineage: Bacteria; Pseudomonadati; Pseudomonadota; Betaproteobacteria; Burkholderiales; Alcaligenaceae.
AGUCGAACGGCAGCACGGACUUCGGUCUGUAUGAGCGGCGAACGGCAGGUAGCAAUGUAUCGAACGCCUGUAUGGGGGAUAACUACGCGUGCGCAAGAAUAUCGCAUACGCCCUUCGGGGGAAAGCGGGGGUAAUCUUCGUAGUCUCGCACUAUUAGAGCGGCUGAUAUCGGAUUAGCUAGUUGGUGGGGCAACGGCUCACCAAGGCGACGAUCCGUAGCCGGCUUGAGAGGACGACCAGCCACACUGGGACUGAGACACGGCCCAGACUAUACGGGAGGCAGCAGUAAAUUUUUAGACAAUGGGGGAAAUCCUGAUCCAGCCAUCCCGCGUGUGCGAUGAAGGCCUUCGGGUUGUAAAAGACUUCACAGAAGAAACGGCAUCAGGAUAAUACCCGUGCAACUGACGGUACCUGGCAGAAUAAGCACCGGCUAACUACGUGCCAGCAGCCGCGGUAAUACGAGGUGGGAAGCGUUAAUCGGAAUUACUGGGCGUAAAGGCGCAGCGGUUCGGAAAGAAAGAUGAAAUCCCAGAGCUUAACUUGGAACUGCAUUUUUAACUACCGAGCUAGAGUGUGUCAGGAGGGAGGUGGAAUCUCCGCGUGUAGCAGUGAACAGAUAUGCGAUGGCGAAGGCAGCUCCUGAUAACACUGACGCUCAUGCACGAAAGCGUGGGGAGCAAACAGGAUUAGAUACCCGGUAGUCCACGCCCUAAACGAUGUCAACUAGCUGUUGGGGCUUCCUGGCCUUGGUAGCGCAGCUAACGCGGUUAACGUCAGGAGUACGGCUGCAAGAUUAAAACUCAGAGGAAUUGACGGGGACCCGCACAAGCGGUGGAUGAGGUGGAUUAACUGGAUGCAACGCGAAAAACCUUACCUACCCUUGACAUGUCUGGAAUCCCGAAGAGAUUUGGGAGUGCUCGCAAGAGAACCGGAACACAGGUGCUGCAUGGCUGUCGUCAGUCGCCGAUACAAGUUGGUGUAGAGUCCUGCAAAUGAGCGCAACCCUUUGUCAUUAGUUGUUAUGAUAAUUUGAAUAGAGACUGCUGGUGACAACUGGAGAGCAGGCGGUGGACGACGUUUGUCCUCGCCACGCUCUUGAUGGUGGCUUCACACGUCAUACAGGUUGUCGUACAGAGGGUCGCCAACUCCGCGAGGGGAGCCAAUCCAGAAACCGAUCGAAUCCGGAUCGCAGUCUGCAACUCGACUGGUGAAGUCGGAAUCGCUAGCACCGCGGAUCAGCAUGUCGCGGUGAAUACGUUCCUGGCCUGGUACACACCGCCCGUCACACCAUGGGAGUGGGUUUUACCAGAAGUGAAGAAGUUCAACUGUAAGAGAAGGAUGCUACUACUGUAGGAUCUGAAGCAGACUUCCAGCAGUCGCAACAAGGUAG